UUGCGCAAUUGGUAAAUUUGUAAGCAAUAUUAGCAAUCUUAUUUCGGCGCGGCGGGCGUAAGCUUUCUCUCAGUUUCACGGCCCGGACGACAAGUCCUACCGGCCUCGCCCAACCAGGUGAGCCGGCGCCGACGGUCCUACCGGAUCGCACCGGCACCCGGGUCCGCACUGCCCAACCAGGCAGGCGACGAAAGCGGCGACAACAUCGCCAGCACCGGACAGAUUCCCCGAGGGGGCCGCAAGGCCCCUU
Pseudomonas sp. 63_8 is the source of this 250-nucleotide non-coding RNA. The record is from Rfam. Lineage: Bacteria; Pseudomonadati; Pseudomonadota; Gammaproteobacteria; Pseudomonadales; Pseudomonadaceae.